RNAcentral lists this long non-coding RNA (498 nucleotides) under Actinidia chinensis (golden kiwifruit). RNAcentral describes it as "long non-coding RNA (ACHI_LNC000228)". The record is from RNAcentral. Lineage: Eukaryota; Viridiplantae; Streptophyta; Magnoliopsida; Ericales; Actinidiaceae.
GAACCCACCCCCAAUUCAAUGCUUUCCUAACUAAGCCUUAAGAUGAGAAUGCUAAACAAAUAAAUAAAUAGACAAAAUAAGAAGGAUUCAUUCCCACUGUCCACGUAAUACAUCCCCAUUCUCUUCAUGUUAUUUAAGAAAUUAUGCAGUCCCACUAUCCAAGUAAUACAUCCCCAUUCUCUUCAUGUCAUUUAAGAAAUUAUUCAGUUUCAUAUCAGAGUAGGAAUAUUGUUCCUGAAAUAAAGAAUAACCACUUGUUCAUCAAAAAUUUCAAACAUACACUUUUAGGUUAUGUUUGUAUCCCGAAUUUGAUAGGGAAAAAAAUAGAAAUGGAAAAGUGAUACGAUCCAACCUUUUCAAACCAUUAAAUCAUCUACCAAUUUCAUUUCCAUUUCCAUUUCCAUUUCAUUUUCCCUUACCAAAUCCUUGAUCCAAACACAAUUAACUCGACUGAUUUAAACUCAAAGUGAAGUUGAUUUUUUUUAUUUAUUUUAUUUU